This 478-nucleotide ribosomal RNA is filed under the name uncultured organism. RNAcentral's name for it is "partial 16S ribosomal RNA". It matches the Rfam family "Bacterial small subunit ribosomal RNA", at positions 330 to 799 of the family's 1533-position model. The record is from RNAcentral.
CGUACACUCCUACGGGAGGCAGCAGUGGGGAAUUUUGGACAAUGGGCGAAAGCCUGAUCCAGCCAUGCCGCGUGCAGGAUGAAGGCCUUCGGGUUGUAAACUGCUUUUGUACGGAACGAAACGGCCUUUUCUAAUAAAGAGGGCUAAUGACGGUACCGUAAGAAUAAGCACCGGCUAACUACGUGCCAGCAGCCGCGGUAAUACGUAGGGUGCAAGCGUUAAUCGGAAUUACUGGGCGUAAAGCGUGCGCAGGCGGUUAUGUAAGACAGUUGUGAAAUCCCCGGGCUCAACCUGGGAACUGCAUCUGUGACUGCAUAGCUAGAGUACGGUAGAGGGGGAUGGAAUUCCGCGUGUAGCAGUGAAAUGCGUAGAUAUGCGGAGGAACACCGAUGGCGAAGGCAAUCCCCUGGACCUGUACUGACGCUCAUGCACGAAAGCGUGGGGAGCAAACAGGAUUAGAUACCCGAGUAGUCCCAUG